Oncorhynchus mykiss (rainbow trout) is the source of this 1884-nucleotide long non-coding RNA. Lineage: Eukaryota; Metazoa; Chordata; Actinopteri; Salmoniformes; Salmonidae. The record is from Ensembl.
AUGCUGGUAGAGUCCCAAAACAGUGCUUUCAUCUAUCAAUGCCCUGUUUCACAUUUCACAUGUGUCAUCGUGAAGGUUACUGGGACAAGGGAAGGAAGCUCUUUAGGAUGCCUAGGGUCUAUCCCUAGACAUUCCCUCCAACACUCACCUCGUCUACCCCUAGUCACCCCCUCCCCUCCAACACCCCCCUCCUCUACCCCUUGGCACCCCCUCCCCUCCAACACCCCCCUCCUCUACCCCUUGGCACCCCCUACCCUCCAACACCCCCCUCCUCUACCCCUUGGCACCCUCUCCCCUCCAACAUCCCCCUCCUCUACCCCUUGGCACCCUCUCCCUUCCAACAUCCCCCUCCUCUACCCCUUGGCACCCCCUCCAACACUCCCCUCCUCUACCCCUUGGCACCCCCUCCCCUCCAACACCCCCUCCCCUCCAACACCCCCCUCAUCUACCCCUUGGCACCACCUCCAACACUCCCCUCCUCUACCCCUUGGCACCCCCUCCCCUCCAACACCCCCCUCCUCUACCCCUUGGCACCCUCUCCCCUCCAACACCCCCCUCCUCUACCCCAUGGCUCCCUCUCCCCUCCAACACCCCCCUCCUCUACCCCUUGGCACCCUCUCCCCUCCAACACCCCCUCCUCUACCCCAUGGCUCCCUCUCCCCUCCAACAUCCCCCUCCUCUACCCCUUGGCACCCCCACCAACACUCCCCUCCUCUACCUCUUGGCACCCCCUCCCCUCCAACACCCCCCUCCUCUACCCCUUGGCACCCUCUCCCCUCCAACACCCCCCUCCUCUACCCCUUGGCACCCUCUCCCCUCCAACAUCCCCCUCCUCUACCCCUUGGCACCCUCUCCCCUCCAACACCCCCCUCCUCUACCCCUUGGCACCCCCUCCAACAUCCCCCUCCUCUACCCCUUGGCACCCCUCCAACAUCCCCCUCCUCUACCCCUUGGCACCCCCUCCCCUCCAACACCCCCCUCCUCUACCCCUUGGCACCCCCUCCCCUCCAACACCCCCCUCCUCUACCCCUUGGCACCUCCUCCCCUCCUCUACCCCUUGGCACCCUCUCCCCUCCAACACCCCCCUCCUCUACCCCUUGGCACCCCUCCAACAUCCCCCUCCUCUACCCCUUGGCACCCCCUCCAACAUCCCCCUCCUCUACCCCUUGGCACCCCCUCCAACAUCCCCCUCCUCUACCCCUUGUCACCCCUCCAACAUCCCCCUCCUCUACCCCUUGGCACCCCCUCCAACAUCCCCCUCCUCUACCCCUUGGCACCCCCUCCCCUCCAACAUCCCCCUCCUCUACCCCUUGGCACCCCCUCCAACACCCCCCUCCUCUACCCCUUGGCACCCCCUCCAACAUCCCCCUCCUCUACCCCUUGGCACCCCCUCCCCUCCAACAUCCCCCUCCUCUACCCCUUGGCACCCCCUCCAACAUCCCCCUCCUCUACCCCUUGGCACCCUCUCCCCUCCAACACCCCCCUCCUCUACCCCUUGGCACCCCCUCCAACAUCCCCCUCCUCUACCCCUUGUCACCCCUCCAACAUCCCCCUCCUCUACCCCUUGGCACCCCCUCCCCUCCAACACCCCCCUCCUCUACCCCUUGGCACCCCCUCCCCUCCAACAUCCCCCUCCUCUACCCCUUGGCACCCCCUCCAACACCCCCCUCCUCUACCCCUUGGCACCCCCUCCAACACCCCCCUCCUCUACCCCUUGGCACCCCCUCCCCUCCAACACCCCCCUCCUCUACCCCUUGGCACCCCCUCCCCUCCAACACCCCCCUCCUCUACCCCUUGUCACCCCUCCAACACCCCCCUCAUCUACCCCUUGGCACCCCCUCCAACAUCCCCCUCCUCUACCCCUUGGCACCCCCUCCCCACUAA